UGAGGAAAAGAAACCAACAGGGAUUGCCCUAGUAACGGCGAGUGAAGCGGCAACAGCUCAAAUUUGAAAGCUAGCCUUCGGGUUCGCAUUGUAAUUUGUAGAGGAUGAUUUGGGGAAGCCGCCUGUCUAAGUUCCUUGGAACAGGACGUCAUAGAGGGUGAGAAUCCCGUAUGUGACAGGAAAUGGCACCCUAUGUAAAUCUCCUUCGACGAGUCGAGUUGUUUGGGAAUGCAGCUCUAAAUGGGAGGUAAAUUUCUUCUAAAGCUAAAUAUUGGCGAGAGACCGAUAGCGCACAAGUAGAGUGAUCGAAAGAUGAAAAGCACUUUGGAAAGAGAGUUAAAAAGCACGUGAAAUUGUUGAAAGGGAAGCGCUUGCAAUCAGACUUGUUUAAACUGUUCGGCCGGUCUUCUGACCGGUUUACUCAGUUUGGACAGGCCAGCAUCAGUUUCGGCGGCCGGAUAAAGGCUCUGGGAAUGUGGCCUCCACUUCGGUGGAGGUGUUAUAGCCCAGGGUGUAAUACGGCCAGCCGGGACUGAGGUCCGCGCUUCGGCUAGGAUGCUGGCGUAAUGGUUGUAAGCGACCCUCUA
Molecule: ribosomal RNA, 587 nt
Filed under: Aureobasidium pullulans
Lineage: Eukaryota; Fungi; Ascomycota; Dothideomycetes; Dothideales; Saccotheciaceae
Description: eukaryotic LSU rRNA
Rfam family: Eukaryotic large subunit ribosomal RNA
Source: RNAcentral